This 253-nucleotide ribosomal RNA is filed under the name uncultured bacterium. Its description in RNAcentral is "partial 16S ribosomal RNA". It matches the Rfam family "Bacterial small subunit ribosomal RNA", at positions 524 to 776 of the family's 1533-position model. The record is from RNAcentral.
UACGGAGGGUGCAAGCGUUAAUCGGAAUUACUGGGCGUAAAGCGCGCGUAGGCGGCCGUCUAAGUCGGGUGUGAAAGCCCCGGGCUCAACCUGGGAACUGCAUCCGAUACUGGUCGGCUAGAGUAUGAGAGAGGGAGGUAGAAUUCCACGUGUAGCGGUGGAAUGCGUAGAUAUGUGGAGGAAUACCGGUGGCGAAGGCGGCCUCCUGGCUUAAUACUGACGCUGAGGUGCGAAAGCGUGGGGAGCAAACAGG